GAAAACACAUCCCUUCUCCCACUGGAAGGUCAGCUGAGAGUCCACAUGAGUGGCCAGUGAAAAGAAAACCAAGGAAAACUGCCACGGAUUGCCUGUUUUUGUGGCUACUUGAGCAGUUGAAUCACAGCCUGACCUGGAAAAGGAGCAAGGAUUUUGUCAGGAGCAAUCGUCUCUCAGAAGCAAGAACACUCAAAUGUGCUAGAAGACCAGAAAAGGUGUUCGACUCAGCGUAUUGUAAAUACUUGCAAGUCCUGCUCUGUGUAUUGCUCCAGGAGCCAUCAGUGGCUAGAACUGUGUUCUAUUAGGAAUUGCACCUCAGUUGCACCAGCAUGCAGAUUCCAGGUAUAAUGUUUUUCUUUAUGAAGUUGCAUAGGAGGUUGACCGUGUUCUGGAAUUGGUCAGUAUUUCUUUUUUCCUAAUGAAACAAAAGUCAAGCUCAAACCAGGUCUUAGGAGCCUUCUUAGUGCAACCCGAGAUACCCACAGAUGUGUGGGAAAACUUGUAUUCUUCAUGGAGAAUUCCUUUUAUACUCAGUAGAUAGAUCCCGCUCUCUGAACCCAAAAAUGAAGUUAAUCUUUUUUAAAAAAAAUCUGCAUAUUUACUGAGUUUCUCCUGUUUUAAAUUUAAAAUAUAACAAAAUUAUUGAUUUGAAUUUCUUUUUCAAAACAUAAUCACAUAUUUUGAAAAGUCUAAAGUACUAUUCACUAGUAAUUCUAGAGAAGUGGUUGUAUCCUAUUCAAUUCACUUUGUAGUGUGAUUAUUGAAAAUAUAUCCUUUUGCCUGAUUCAUCUUGAUUAGAGACAUUACCAGGGACCUGUUGGUUUAUUAAUAUAUUCUAAAUUAUUUACUCCCACAGUAAAACAUUAGGUACAAAAUUACAAUGCUUUGGAGAACUCUCCCAAAAUAUUCUAAUGUGAAAUUAUAAAAAAAAUACUUCAAAACUAAAAAUCUUUUGAAGUAUACGAGAAAAAGAUAUGAAUCUAAAACCAAAGCAUUAUCUACUUGCUGCAUAAUAAAUGUCACUGAAAAUCUCUGAAGUAUUUUCAUUGGACCUUAACAGUCUUUGCUUCUAAAGGGUUAACAUAAGUUUUUGAGAAUAUAAUAUCUAAUUUAACAAAAUUUUAAAUGUCUAAUAUGGAUCCUAAACCUCAUCACAGAGAAAUGAGACAGCCCCCAAGUUUAAUGGGUAUUCCCACUCUCAAUGGGCUCGUGGUGUUAGGUUUGUUAAGCCAAUGACAGUAGAAAAAGUUAGGGCUCUUUCUGGAUGGACAAGUCCACUCAGCCAGACAGGGGUCAGACUGGUCCUCUGCUCACUCACCAGCUUCUUUUUGGGAAAGGAGAGCCUUUCUGUGUGUCUAGAUUAUCCUCAGAAGUUAAAAAAUUCAUUUUGGCCGAAAUUCUGCCUCUGAAAGUAUGACUCGAGUGAAUUAAAGUUCACAGCUUCUUGAAUUGAAUGGGCUGUGAUUGUGCAAAUUUAAUUUUAGAUAAUGUACCACAUUUAGACAUUUGCUUUCAGGCUUCUGUUGCCCAGAGGGAGAACUGCUAAAUCAGGAGGAGCUACAGCAUGAUGCAGUGCAGGAGCUCUGCAUGGAGAAGGCAGGAACCCGGGGAGCAGCCCUGUCCUGCCGUAAUUAACUCUGUGACCUCAGGCUAUCUGGGUGGCCUCUCUGGGCCUCGUGCAGAAAACCAGAGGACUACGUACGUGAUCCCACGGUCUCGUCAGCUCUCAGUCUCUUAGCCUCUCCAAUGGCACAAGCACCAAAUUACUCCGCAAAUGGUUCAUAAUGGUUCAUAAAUCCACGUGAGCAGCGCAGGGUGACACUUGAUUGACAAGUGUCAAAACUUCUCAAGGAGUUGGUUUGUGUGCUUUACAGGAGAAGGGGUAGAGUGUGUGGGUAAAUGGUGGUGAUGUGGCCUGUGGCAUAUAUAUAGAAGAACUGGGACAAUCCACCACCAUCAAGAGUAGAUUGGGGAGGUCAGGAAUUGGGUGAGUAGUGGCAGCUGACUCUCACUAAAUGCCACCAUGAAGCAGUUGUGGGUUUCUUGUCAGCUUCAAUCAGCAGCUAGAGAGAAGGAUGACCAUUACCAGCUUUGAAAUGAGGAAAGCCAGUCUCAGGCUUUGCAUACCAACACUUCAACCAGGAAUCCCUGGGCUCUAGGACUGGAACUUGACCAGUGUCAGGGGAAAAAAAAGCCUGAGUAGGCAGGAGUCACUUCUGGCAAAGAAGAGGCUGCAGAUGCAAAAAUUUUCUUAAAAGAAAGAGAAUUCUGUUGUCCUGCAGUCAGGAGUGCACGCAUCGGGUUUGUCCCCAGUUUCUGAAGUAGCAGAGUCAUUGCAAUAACCUUGGGAACAUUUCUUAGCCUCAAGCUGCAACUUGAUUUCUACCACGGUGCAUCACUUGUUACAGAAAUUCAACAAACUGUACCUAGAUGACACAUUCGACAAUAGUGUUCUCUAACAAGAAGCUUCAGGCAAUUUAUUUAAGCAUCAAAAUACUUGUAGCAUUAUUAGGAAGCACGUUAGUAUGCAAGUAUUAAGAAACUUUUUCUUUUCACUUAAAAUAUAUUAUGAAAAUACUUCUUACCCGAAUUAAUAUGAGAAUUGCAUUUUUACAUUAUUUGUGUUGAUAGUUUAUAAUAGAUCGCUUUUUAACAAAAAAUGAAGUCAGGUUAUAAAGCUACCAAGCUUCCAAGUGAGAAUAGACUAAUUAUAAAUGUGAGAAAGUUUGGGGCAGGGGACAUAGGCAUUAAAAUAGACGCACUUAAUAAGAGGUGACAAUGAUAGCACUGGGAUGAGUCUCAUUUGAGGUCACCCAGGAGGAAGCCUUUCUGCUCUGGGGAAAGCAACAAUAAUGAGCAAAGCAAUAGGAAAGAAGAAUGAGAAAACUUACAGUGGACAUAAAAAUCAAGAAAUUGCUGCAGUGUAUUCUACGGUAUAGUCUGGUGAGCGUUCAAGUUGUCUGCAUCCAAGCAAAGAACUACAACAAUUAAUAUUGUAACAGGUAGUUUAGCUAUUUAUCUUAUAAAUAGAUGGUUUGUAAAGAAGAAGGCCUCAGGCGGAGUCAGGUUGGUCAGCCUUAUGGAGAAACAGUACAUAUGCAUGAUUCUAUAGGUUGAUAGGCUCAGAAAUGUAAAAGCAAAUACUGGGGAAAUGAUAGCAGUUAAGAUAAGGACAGGGAGUUAGGAUUCCUACCCUUAGGUGGGAUGAGGUGCACCAAAUUAACACACACACACACACACACACACACACACACACAUACUGCACACACCCUGCACACAUACACACACAUGCACACAUAUAAAUGCACAUAUGCACACACAUCUAGGCUUUGAGGCAUUCAAGUAUACUGAGUAACUGGUUUUUCUUUUGCACUCUGAAUUGGAAAGCCUGAUUUUCUAUUGUUUACUUGAAAUUCAUAGGACCACUCAUGAUAGGUGAUCACUGGGCACAACAAAUUCCAGUGCUCUGCUUGUCCACAAAAGACUCUAAACAAAAAGCCCACAUGACCACUGUUUUGGGACUGUUCCAUCUGGGAACUUUCUUUAUUCUUAUACUUCCAAUAACACUCAUCUCAACUUCCUUCUUUGUGAUUUCACUCUUUGGCUCUGAGAGAUACUGGCCCAGUUUGGACAAUAACAACAUGAAGAUGCCUAUGAGAAGUUCAAAACUUCAAUCCUUGAGGAAGUCUGCACUCCAGAUUAGCAAAAGUGCAACAGUUAUGUAACCCAUGCUGCCAGGAAGGCUGCUAGGAAGUGGAUGCCCUGGAAAACCCUGGAAAGGAACCAAAAAUGGAUCAGCACCUGCGAGAAGGGGGUUGGAAAUAUCUAACAAAAUUAUAUAUGCAUUUAUCCUUUGACCCACAAUCUUUCUUCCAAGAAUCCUUCAUAACAACACAUUGUACAGGCAGAGAAUGGGAGAUUGGAGUCAGUGACACAGACACCAAAGUCUGAGCUGGCUGCAGGGGUACAGGUGCCAGCACUGUGGCUUGAGCCUGAAGAAUAAAGGGUAGUGUGGCUCUGAUCUUCCAGAAUACUAGCAGGUAGAUUUUGUAUCAUCAUUCAGAAGUGCAAUGAUCUGCAAAGAGGGUAAACAAGAUUUUGAACCUCUGGAACAUUGAGUCCAAGUCAGUCGACCUUUGAGUCCAGAACUGGAGUCUUUGCAAAGAGGAAUUGGUUGGAAGGAGCCAACUGAAGACAGAAGAAGGCAUUCUUUAAGCUCAAGAGGACUUUUGAUGAUCUACACUUGGAAUUCUACAUAAGAAGGAAAAAGGUCAAGGGACUUUAUAGAGAAGCAAGACAGAAAUGCAAGGUGCAAACAAACACAAGAGGCAUUUAAUAGUUUUACAGAGAUGAAAACUCAUGCCAUUUUCAGCACCAGAAAAGAAUGUAGGUUAGUGCAAAAGAUACUAACCGGAGUACCCCAAAUCAGCUGCUGAUAGAAUGUCCUAAUGCAAGCAAAGAAAACACAAAUCUGAAUUCAAAAUCGUGACAGCAGUAUAACACCUACUCAUCUUAUAGCCGUCUGCAGAACUGAUUGGAGGGAAGAGUAGGAGCAUGAAGAUAUGGACAAUUCAAAUCCUGUGGUCUUCUUAGCUGCUUUUCAUCUAAAGUAGCACAUGAACUCCAUGUGCAAGCCGAUAUGGCUGAUAGAGCUACCGCUACUUCCCUUUACCCACGGAAAGCUACGUUACUGUGCACAGUACAGAUGGAACUGGAGGUACUGGUCUGCCCAAGUACUGGGGAAAUGCUUGAUGAUCUGCAGGUUCGAGAGCUGAAUAGUAACACCAUGUGUCUUGCAUUCAUAUUAUGUUCUAUAUUUUUAUGGGGAGAAAGGAAGUGUAUUAAGUGUUAAGUAAACACCAGGCAUUGUGUUAGUGCUUUAGGUUUGCUAUUUAGUUCUUCAUAUCACCAAGUUAGCAGAGAGUAUUAUCCCCUUUUUACAAAAGUGGAAAAUGGCUAUGGUGAUCUGUCAAGGUCUACAAACAAAUACCUGAUCUAACCAGGAAUUAGCCCCUGCCACGUGAGCCCCCAAAUCAGAAUUAACAGAAUAUGACGAUUCUAUCCUCACAAUUGGCAUUGUAAGGCUACUCACAGCAGAGUGGUCUCUGCAGUUCAGACAGGUUUAUGGAGGCUGCUUUGCCUCUGAUGGUACUGACAAUUUCUUUUGUCACAGAGUUGGGUCCACUGAGCUUCUGAGGGCUAUGCAUGUCCCAGGCAAGUGGAAUGUUUUAUUUCCAAUAAAAAAAAAAACUUAUGACAUCAUUGCUUGGCUGAAGCCAUUAAUACAACUGCCAUUGUACCUCAUGGUUAGGAACAUCAAGUUCCAUACAAAUUCUAUUGCUUCAAAUGCUCAGCCUAAGUUCUGCAAAGUGAUGGAAAUUUGUCCUCAAGUGACAACCUCCUUACUACAGAACUUAUGGAUUCAAAUAUACUUGGAUUUCUUCCAUGGACCAAUUCCAGCUGUCCUACCUUUUGAUGAUUUAUUUCAGAUACCUUCCAGGCUUUACCUAGGAACUCCACCAUGAAAAGACAGCAGGAAUUCUAGAGUGUUGUCAUGGCAACCCCUAGAUAUCAUCUUCACAAUGCCCCAUGGCUGUUGAGUCCAGAUUUAUUACAAUUAUAUUUCUAUAUGGAAGGUACAGACAACCAGACCUCAGAAAAUGGUUCUAAUUUGCAAUUAUAUGGAUCACUGUAACACUCCUUAUAGCAAGAUUUUAAGAAACUGCUCUCGAUCUGGUGAUAGCUGCCAUAUUUACAUGGGCCCAUACCUUAAAUGUAUUGUGUUAGGGUAGGGGAUAUCUACCCAACCUUCCAUUCUGUCAAAAGAAAAUAGAGUCCAAUUUUAUGAAGGUGUUUGAUGAGAAAUUGGCACCAGCUCCCUUUUGUCCCUAAAGUGAGGAGAAUAUGCUGAGCUCUUGCUUCAGAUUCUCCUUUUUAUUUCUCUUUGUCUCCUGAACCAUGCUUGAAACAAUGGGAGCACAAAGCCCUGUUACAACAGAACCACUUCCAAGCAGAACGGUGCAGGGGCUGCCCAGCAUCUUGUGCAGUGGGUGUUUGUCUAGCAUCAUCAUUGCAAUUUUUAUUGCAUCUCAUGAUGUGCACAGAUGUGCUUGGUAAGCAUCCCAAGAGGUAAAGAGACUCUGCUCAAUAUCCCUGUUCCCAAAUGACACUACCUUACAGAAUCACUUUCUGGGCUACCUCCUUUGGGAUGCUACAGCCAUUUAAAGUCUCUGGAUUUUGGUGUUUUAACAAGGGUUUAAUUACUAAGGUAAGUGUAUGCACCUGCUAAGGCAUUCCUAAUUAUUUGAUAAUGGUGCAAUCUUUCUCAAUACAGCUAGUUUUGUGGUGUAAGCUACACUAAUGAAGCACAGUGAGAGAACACAUUCCCCCAAUGUUGGGGAGGCUUAUUUAAAUUAAAUAAAUUUGCAAAGGACUGAAUUUUUACCACUGGCCUCAACAAUUAUGCAUCAGUACACCAUACCAGAAGCCAGUGUGCCUCUGUCAAAAUGAGUCACACUCCCCAUUACUUUUGCUCAUUGAAGUAUCUUUAAGUGAGACGAUGUCACUUUCAAAUUUUUAUCCUUUCCAGAUUGCUUCACAUACUUCAACUUGUCCCACUCUGUCUUAAAAAAAAAAAAAAAAAGCUUAUCUCUUUUGUUUUUUACUUGGCAGCAACUGAUAUAAGCACUGUUUGACAAUGCUUAAUUUUUUUUCUUUUCCACCUGAUUCUUACCACUGCCAUAUGUGGUCUGUGGGUGACUUAGUAGUAAGAUCCUUGCUUAUAACAUCUGCAAAUUAGCACCUUGCACUGCAGCCUCUCUGGAAACUUGCUGAUGGUUUGCAAUUGUAGUAAGUCAGAGUCAACCUUCUAUCCAAGUGUUUCAAACUUUGCUGCAGAAGAAGAAUCAGGUUCCAGCAGAUGAAUGGUUUCCAAAUCACUGUUAGGAGCUACAUUAGCAAAACAUUGUGCAUCUCACUCCUCAAACACACAUAUUCAUUUCAGUACGUGCAGUUGCUCAGGAAAGAAAUUGAAACUGAUCAAAACUGGUUCUAUCUCUUCUGUAUUCCUGGUCAUUUAAUUUUUUCUUCCAAAAUAUUUUAGUGAAUCAGCCUGGUUCCACCAAAGGCUAUCAUUAAUGAAAUUUUCCAAGACAAGGUAAAAGAAUGUCCUUCAUUGUCCAAUUUUUCCAAAUAUUUGUGAAAGUUAAAUCGAUUUUUAUAUUUUUCCAAUAAAAUAAAUACACCAAUG
Molecule: long non-coding RNA, 7249 nt
Organism: Cavia porcellus (domestic guinea pig)
Lineage: Eukaryota; Metazoa; Chordata; Mammalia; Rodentia; Caviidae
Exons: 8
Source: RefSeq, a predicted model, not a curated record